AUUGAACGCUGGCGGCAGGCCUAACACAUGCAAGUCGAACGAGUGGCGGACGGGUGAGUAAUGUCUGGGAAACUGACUGAUGGAGGGGGAUAACUACUGGAAACGGUAGCUAAUACCGCAUACCAUCAGAUGUGCCCAGAUGGGAUUAGCUAGUUGGUGGGGUAACGGCUCACCAAGGCGACGAUCCCUAGCUGGUCUGAGAGGAUGACCAGCCACACUGGAACUGAGACACGGUCCAGACUCCUACGGUAGGCGGCAGUGGGGAAUAUUGCACAAUGGGCGCGAGCCUGAUGCAGCCAUGCGGCGUGUAUGAAGAAGGCCGUCGGGUUGUAAAGUACGUUUUUCGCGGAGACAUUACCCGAAGAACAAGCACCGGCGAACUCCAUGCCAGCAGCCGCGGUAAUAC
Molecule: ribosomal RNA, 406 nt
Filed under: uncultured bacterium
Lineage: Bacteria
Description: partial 16S ribosomal RNA
Rfam family: Bacterial small subunit ribosomal RNA
Source: RNAcentral